AACGAACGCUGGCGGCAGGCCGAACACAGGCAAGGCGAACGAGACCGGCGGGGCGAGGGGCGCACGGGGGCGGAACGCGGGGGAACCGGCGCGGAGGGGGGGAAGAACGCCCCGAAAGGGGGGCGAAUACCGGAUAAUGGCUUCGGACCAAAGAUUUAUCGCCUUUGGAUGGGCCCGCGUUGGAUUCGCUCGUUGGUCGGGUCAAAGCCUACCAAGGCGACGAUCCAUAGCUGGUCUGAGAGGAUGAUCAGCCACACUGGGACUGAGACACGGCCCAGACUCCUACGGGAGGACGCAGUGGGGAAUAUUGGACAAUGGGCGAAAGCCUGAUCCAGCAAUGCCGCGUGAGUGAUGAAGGCCUUAGGGUUGUAAAGCUCUUUUACCCGGGAUGAUAAUGACAGUACCGGGAGAAUAAGCUCCGGCUAACUCCGUG
This 433-nucleotide ribosomal RNA is filed under the name uncultured bacterium. RNAcentral describes it as "partial 16S ribosomal RNA". It matches the Rfam family "Bacterial small subunit ribosomal RNA", at positions 29 to 507 of the family's 1533-position model. The record is from RNAcentral.